Sphaeramia orbicularis (orbiculate cardinalfish) is the source of this 362-nucleotide long non-coding RNA. RefSeq lists it as uncharacterized. The transcript has 3 exons. The record is from RefSeq and is a predicted model, not a curated record. NCBI's taxonomy places the organism in Eukaryota, Metazoa, Chordata, Actinopteri, Kurtiformes, Apogonidae.
UGCCAGUGAGCUGCAGCUCUGUCCACAAUGUCUGACAUUACUUAGCCUAAAAAGCCUCGUUAUGAUUCCCAAAUAAGUCAUGACAAGGUCAGAAACAAAACAAGGAUAUGUAUAGGAGAUGCUUUUUAAAGAUGGAGACGACUGAAAGCGGAGAAGAAUUUGAAGACCGACGCCGAAGUCGCUAAUUUUCUCCUGGACAGCUAUGAUGGUCCCAGCACCUCAACCCCCAGUUAGAGGCAGAGAAAGUGGAAGAAGCACCCCUUGACUGCGCCCUCACUUUCCAGUAUUGGAUGUCCAUCAUCUGAAACACUUUCAAAUCGAGAGGACCAGCUGCCUGUGAUAGAAAGACUGGAAAAUCCUGA